UUUACUAAGAGAGCAACACGUGUCUUCUUCAUUAUAAAUCAUCCGAUUUGUUACGUUUGUUUUGGGUUUUCACCGUUAUUUUGUGGGCUUUGCAUAACUUCAUCUGGGCAUAAACAAAUUAAACCUUGUCCACCUUAAAUAUUUCAACGUGGAGCCGCCGUUCAAAUUUAGGGUUCAUCUUCUCCUGCAAAUUCCUAUUACGAUCAACCAAAAAUAGAUGUUCUGAAAGGUUAUAAGAGACGUGUAUUCAUGAGUAAUCUUUGCGUCCUUUCCGGUUUUAUGUCGUUUCGUUUGCGGUUCUUCUCCCCUCCUCGAAGGCGUUACAAGUUGCAUUGAUUUGACGCUAUUCAAUGAUUCUUAUCUUUCUUACAGGCAGUGGAUCUCAACUAUAAAAAUAGGCUGGAGGUGUUGCGAACCCAGAUGAUAUUCAGCUCCCCUGUUUAUUACCGACAUUGUUAGCAAGACAUACACAUUCCAGCUCAGCCUGACCAGUUUCAGUUAUACUGCGAAGCAAUCAAACUUUCACAAUCUCACGCAUCUUCGACGAGCGUCAGCGUCUUCGACUCUCUGACUUUGUUGUCGAUGUAAUUUUGUAACUACAUUGGAUACGGCUCUUCUGUAUGUUAAAGUAACAUUGUGCGUCUUGGUUUUAUCAGAGCGGCAACGGUGGUCCAGUGGUCCAGGAGAUGAUUUGAACGGUGGAAGCUUUGAGUUUAGUCUAAAAAUGUAUGUCUUUAUUACAUUUUGGAGCAUUGCCAUUUAUUCCAUUUGCAGGCAAUGUUGAUGCUAUUUAGAAAAAUACAUGUUUUACUUCCUACUAACCAUUUUGAAACUUCAUGGAGAACAUAUUUCAGGCUUACCCUAUUGCCAAUAUAAUUGUGCUUCUGUGA
This is a long non-coding RNA of Raphanus sativus (radish), 890 nucleotides long. RefSeq lists it as uncharacterized. Lineage: Eukaryota; Viridiplantae; Streptophyta; Magnoliopsida; Brassicales; Brassicaceae. The transcript is spliced from 2 exons. The record is from RefSeq and is a predicted model, not a curated record.